GGGGGAUAUUGCACAAUGGGGGGAACCCUGAUGCAGCGACGCCGCGUGAGGGAAGAAGGUUUUCGGAUUGUAAACCUCUGUCUUCGGUGACGAUAAUGACGGUAGCCGAGGAGGAAGCCAUGGCUAACUACGUGCCAGCAGCCGCGGUAAUACGUAGAUGGCAAGCGUUGUCCGGAAUUACUGGGUGUAAAGGGAGCGUAGGCGGGUAGGCAAGUUGGAUGUGAAAUACACAGGCUCAACCUGUGAAUUGCAUUCAAAACUGUUUAUCUUGAGUGAAGUAGAGGUAGGCGGAAUUCCUAGUGUAGCGGUGAAAUGCGUAGAUAUUAGGAGGAACACCAGUGGCGAAGGCGGCCUACUGGGCUUUUACUGACGCUGAGGCUCGAAAGCAUGGGUAGCAAAC
RNAcentral lists this ribosomal RNA (400 nucleotides) under uncultured bacterium. RNAcentral describes it as "bacterial SSU rRNA". It matches the Rfam family "Bacterial small subunit ribosomal RNA", at positions 356 to 773 of the family's 1533-position model. The record is from RNAcentral.